RNAcentral lists this non-coding RNA (21 nucleotides) under Caenorhabditis elegans. Lineage: Eukaryota; Metazoa; Nematoda; Chromadorea; Rhabditida; Rhabditidae. The record is from RNAcentral.
UUAAAACGUGCCCUUUCCAUU